GACGAACGCUGGCGGCGUGCUUAACACAUGCAAGUCGAACCCGCCUGUCCUCUGGGUUUCUGGGGGGUGGGUGAGUGGCGAACGGGUGAGUAACACGUGAGUAACCUGCCCCCUUCUUCGGGAUAACGGUCUGAAAGGGCUGCUAAUACCGGGUAUUCACUGGUCUCCGCAUGGGGUCUGGUGGAAAGGUUUUUUUCUGGUGGGGGAUGGGCUCGCGGCCUAUCAGCUUGUUGGUGGGGUGAUGGCCCACCAAGGCUUUGACGGGUAGCCGGCCUGAGAGGGUGACCGGUCACAUUGGGACUGAGAUACGGCCCAGACUCCUACGGGAGGCAGCAGUGGGGAAUAUUGCACAAUGGGCGCAAGCCUGAUGCAGCGACGCCGCGUGAGGGAUGGAGGCCUUCGGGUUGUGAACCUCUUUCGCCCGUGGUCAAGCCGCGACGUGGGUCGUGGUGAGGGUAGUGGGUAAAGAAGCGCCGGCUAACUACGUG
RNAcentral lists this ribosomal RNA (488 nucleotides) under uncultured bacterium. Its description in RNAcentral is "partial 16S ribosomal RNA". It matches the Rfam family "Bacterial small subunit ribosomal RNA", at positions 28 to 507 of the family's 1533-position model. The record is from RNAcentral.